ACGACUCAAAUUGUUUGCCCCAAUUUCGGGCAAAUCAUCCCUCUCACACACUCAGUCCUCACAUUCUCAAAUCUCUCUAUCACAACCCAUCUGUUCUGACCAAAUUUCUUCAUCCUCCUCUCGAGUGUCUUGCAAAGAAGAGCAAAUCGUGUCAGAGCAAAUAUAAUAUCAUUGUUCUCGUCUUUCGUAUGCUAACCUUCUUAUCUGAUUUGUUAGCUAACCUUCUUGUUUGAUUUGUUAGCUUGCCUGGACUUUCACCAUGAGGAGUCUGCUUUCUAUAUUUUAGAUCUCCAUUGAGCCGACUCAAACAGCGAUCACUUGAAUAAUUGAAUUUCAGUUUCGAUCCAUUUUACAAUGCAUUUUACUUGGAAUUUCAGUUGGUUUUGUGGCAUUGUUGGAUCUAUGGAUGUGUACAUGUAUUGGUACCCCCAAAGCCAAAACUAUCUUGAACAGUAUCAUUACCUUCCAAUCUGAGUUGACGGUGAAAGCUCCGCCAUAUCAAGCGUCGUCGAUGGUCAGGAGGUCACGAAGAGUACAGAGUUUGCAAAUGAGAUGUAUAUGCCGCCAUGGAUGAAAGAGAGUGUGUUGGAACUGAAUAUGUGAGGAGUGAUUGGGGGCAAACAGUUUGAGCCGUACGAUUAAUUUUUUUUAAAUCCAAUGGUUCUUAAUUAGUCCGGUACUUUUAGUACUGGACGAUCCCCUGAUCCAUUUUGAAGAGGUUGAUUCCAUUAUUUGAAGCUAGAAACACGAGAAUAACUUUUUUC
Long non-coding RNA from Tripterygium wilfordii, 764 nucleotides. RefSeq lists it as uncharacterized. The transcript has 2 exons. The record is from RefSeq and is a predicted model, not a curated record. NCBI's taxonomy places the organism in Eukaryota, Viridiplantae, Streptophyta, Magnoliopsida, Celastrales, Celastraceae.